GGGCCCGUAGCUUAGCCCGGUAGAGCGCCCGGCUCAUAAGACCGGGUGGUCCGGGGUUCAAGUCCCCGCGGGC
RNAcentral lists this transfer RNA (73 nucleotides) under Sulfolobus acidocaldarius DSM 639. RNAcentral describes it as "tRNA-Met". It matches the Rfam family "tRNA". Rfam says of the family: Transfer RNA (tRNA) molecules are approximately 80 nucleotides in length. The record is from RNAcentral. Lineage: Archaea; Thermoproteati; Thermoproteota; Thermoprotei; Sulfolobales; Sulfolobaceae.